AUAGUAAGAGGAAAAUCCGUCGACUUUAAAAAUCGUGAGGGUUCAAGUCCCUCUAUCCCCAAUAA
This 65-nucleotide transfer RNA is filed under the name Wuodendron praecox. RNAcentral's name for it is "partial tRNA-Leu". The record is from RNAcentral. Lineage: Eukaryota; Viridiplantae; Streptophyta; Magnoliopsida; Magnoliales; Annonaceae.